UGGGGAAUUUUGGACAAUGGGCGAAAGCCUGAUCCAGCAAUGCCGCGUGUGUGAAGAAGGCCUUCGGGUUGUAAAGCACUUUUGUCCGGAAAGAAAUCCUUGGCUCUAAUACAGUCGGGGGAUGACGGUACCGGAAGAAUAAGCACCGGCUAACUACGUGCCAGCAGCCGCGGUAAUACGUAGGGUGCAAGCGUUAAUCGGAAUUACUGGGCGUAAAGCGUGCGCAGGCGGUUUGCUAAGACCGAUGUGAAAUCCCCGGGCUCAACCUGGGAACUGCAUUGGUGACUGGCAGGCUAGAGUAUGGCAGAGGGGGGUAGAAUUCCACGUGUAGCAGUGAAAUGCGUAGAGAUGUGGAGGAAUACCGAUGGCGAAGGCAGCCCCCUGGGCCAAUACUGACGCUCAUGCACGAAAGCGUGGGGAACAAACAGGAUUAGAUACCCCUGGGUAGUCCACGCCCCUAAAACGAUGUCAACUAGUUGUUGGGGGAUUCAUUUCCUUAGUAACGUAGCUAACGCGUGAAGUUGACCGCCUGGGGAGUACGGUCGCAAGAUUAAAACUCAAAGGAAUUGACGGGGUCAUA
This 580-nucleotide ribosomal RNA is filed under the name uncultured bacterium. RNAcentral's name for it is "partial 16S ribosomal RNA". It matches the Rfam family "Bacterial small subunit ribosomal RNA", at positions 355 to 923 of the family's 1533-position model. The record is from RNAcentral.